This 327-nucleotide ribosomal RNA is filed under the name uncultured eukaryote. Its description in RNAcentral is "partial 18S ribosomal RNA". It matches the Rfam family "Eukaryotic small subunit ribosomal RNA", at positions 1470 to 1796 of the family's 1831-position model. The record is from RNAcentral.
CCCUUAGAUGUUCUGGGCCGCACACGCGCUACACUGAAGGAGGCAGCGUGUACUCCUGGAUCGAAAGAUUUGGGUAACCCGCGAAUCUCCUUCGUGCUAGGGAUUGAGUUUUGCAAUUAUCCUUCAUGAACGAGGAAUUCCCAGUAAGUGCAAGUCAUAAGCUUGCGCUGACUACGUCCCUGCCCUUUGUACACACCGCCCGUCGCUACUACCGAUUGAAUGAUUUAGUGAGGACUUCGGACUGGGACCGAUGCGGCUUUCGGGCUGCGUCGGUAUUCUGGAAAGAUGUCCAAACUGUAUCAUUUAGAGGAAGUAAAANUCGUANCA